AGGGCUACUGUAAGACCAGUCAUGACUACUCCGGUGAUUUCUCUUUUAUGUCUUCUUAGCUUCAUGACAAUGCUGGAAAGGGAGCCCUAAGAUCGUCCCAUUAACAGAUGAGGAGACUGGGCUACGCAGCAACCAGGUGCCUAUGCCAAGGUCAUGACCGAGGCAGGCUUUGAACUCCAGGCCCUUUGCCUCUUACGCCACCUGGCCCAUGACUCCUGGUGUACGAAGCCCAGCAACAUGGAAGGGCAGGCAGGGCUGGGGACAAGCCGAAGCACCACACAGGCGACCACACAGGUAGAGAUGGAUCUGCAAGUAUCUUGGCCUGGCUCUGCCCUCAGAGACACUCAGCAAGUUCUCCCAAGGCAUUGAAUAUAUUUUGUACAUGUCACCUCCAGUUCUCCUAGCAACUGAUGAAGAAGCCUGUGUUAUCAGCCCUGUUGUACAGACUGGGUAAGUGAGGCACAGAGACAUCAUGUGACUUACCCAAGAUCACACAGCUAAUUAGCACCAGAGCCAGGAUUCAAACACCAGCUUUCAAGCUCUGAAUUGGCACUGCUCAAUAAAUACUCAGAAGACAAGCA
This 581-nucleotide long non-coding RNA is filed under the name Ursus maritimus (polar bear). RNAcentral's name for it is "lncRNA (ENSUMAG00000004056.1)". The record is from RNAcentral. Lineage: Eukaryota; Metazoa; Chordata; Mammalia; Carnivora; Ursidae.